CACAGCGCCCUGGGGAAGCUGGUUUGAAAGCUCUGGAGCGACCCCAAUGCCGGCUACUGCCUGGGGUCUAGGAAUCCAGAACAUUCCACACAUUGCCUAAGUCAACAACCUGUUGCACACACACACCUGCAACUGUUUUGCAAAAAUAUUUACGUAAUUUCGAAGCAGCUCUUCACAAAAUAUUCAUCAGUUACAGAAGGAAGUCACUUCACAGUGGAAAAAUCUGGCAGGUGCCACCUUAAUCAAGUAACCAAAAUGAACAUCAUCAGUAAUAGGACAAAUUGCAAUCGUGUGCCUCCUGAUAGUCUAGCAAGAAGAACACAGCAUCACUUCUAUGAUGCUCCUGCCAAUAAUAUAUAAUUGGAAUCUAAUCCUAAAGCAACAAAUUCAAAUUAAGGAAAAUUCUACAAAAUAAUUGGCCUGUAAUAGAAGUGUUAAAGGUCAUGAAAGUUAAGGAAAGACUGAAGAACUGUUCCAGACUGAAGAUGAAAGAGAUGUGAGAAAUAAGUGCAGUGGUGAUUCUGAACUGGAUCCUGACUUGGCAAAACUUGAAUAGGUCUGUUGGUUGGAUGGUAGAAAUAUAGUAAUGUUGAUUUCCUGAUUUUUGCUAGCUAUAUUACAAUUUUAUUGGAUUCAGUCCUUGUUUACAGAAGACACACAGUAUGUAGGGGUUAUAAGAAGUCAGCUCAGGAACUUUCAAAUCAUUUAGCAAAACAAAAGUUCUUCGUACUUUAAUUCCAAGACUUCUAUAAAUUUGAGAUUAUUUUUAAAAUACUUAAAAAAAACUCCUUUAAAGUCUCUCAACAUGCUGUCCUAUUAAUAAUAGAUUUCUAAAUUUUUUAUUUUUAUCA
This 851-nucleotide long non-coding RNA is filed under the name Homo sapiens (human). RNAcentral's name for it is "novel transcript". The record is from RNAcentral. Lineage: Eukaryota; Metazoa; Chordata; Mammalia; Primates; Hominidae.